Molecule: long non-coding RNA, 2622 nt
Filed under: Olea europaea subsp. europaea
Lineage: Eukaryota; Viridiplantae; Streptophyta; Magnoliopsida; Lamiales; Oleaceae
Source: RNAcentral
CCAAAUUAAAAACCAACCCUACCAUUGUCCUCAGAACUCUUGAACGACAACGAAGACACAGACCACCUCUGUUCCUCCGAUAUUACUGCUCCUUCGCUUGAGCACUCCGAACAAGAGGCCUUCCACUUGGGCCUUCCAAACAGCUACUUGAUUGGAGAGUCUCAUAUUGAGCGGGGAAGAAGUUGGGCAAGCCCAAACUUAUUGUGGCUCCCAUGGUCGACAACUUCGAGUUACCCUUCCAUAUGCUUUGCCAAAAGUAUGGCGCCCAAGUAGCGUACACUUCCAUGCUUCAUUCAAGAAUCUUCCCUGAAACUAAAAAGUAUCGCUCCCAAGAAUUCACCACCUGCAAGGUAUGGUAUUGACAUUCUAAUGGAUUUUAGGUAUUAGACUCGAUUUUGUUAAGUUUGUUUAGAUUGAUGUGGUGGUAAAUGGCAGGAGGAUAGGCCUCUAUUUGUGCAAUUCUGCACGAAUGAUCUAGAUGUUUUGUUGGAGGCAGCACGGAGAGUGGAGCCUUACUGUGAUUAUGUUGACAUUAAUUUUGGAUAGUUGUUUAUCGAAUUCCCCCCCCCCCCCCCAUUCCCCAUUCAAUAGUGAAUUAUGUAUGAUAGUUUGUACAUUGCUUGAUACUGGAUUUUAAGCCAACUUGUCUUCUACAUGGGAGAAAAAUAGUUUGCUUUUUAAUUUUGCCUGUUGCUAAUUAUGGUUCUAGAAGCUAAAAUAUAUUUGUGCAUUUUAUCUUGAAGUUCGAGAUGCUUUUGGUUACACUUGAAUUCCUUAAGCUAAUUUGACUUUGCUGUGUUAUGCCUGUGGACAGUGAUUUUGACAAUCUUGUAAAAGUUAUCACCUAUAUAGAUCUGUAAAAGUUUCUAUGUGAGAUAGUACUUGAAUGGUGUUUUUCUCUUACAUAUUAUUUGGGAAAUGUUAAAACUACAAUGACUGAAGCUAGUUCGGUGCAAAUUGUUUUAUCCUAGACUCCUAGUUAUAUAACUAAUCUGGCUUUGUCUAGCUGUAAUUUGACCUAAAUUGGGAUAAAAGUUAUUUAGCUUUGUGAAAGUUUUUGGUUAGGUUCAAACCCUCACACUGCCAUUUUAGAGAACUCAUCUAUGUGUUUGAAGUGAGGGAUUGAAGUGAGGACUGAGUGUGAAGAGUGGAGGAGUGGCUUUUAUAGGGGUGGGGCGUGUGGUUGGGUUCAUGCAUUUGCAGAGGUGGCUGGUUAAGGCUGAUGGAUGAGGAUUUUUAAAUGGAGCCGACGGGGACUGCUGAUAUUGAAUAUUUGGGUUGACUUGGACAAAAUGUAUGAUUGGAUGGGCACGUGUAAUAAUAUUAGUAAGAAUUAGUGAUUUAAGCCUUCCAUUAGCAAGUGGACUGGACAAAUGGUUGGAUGAGAAUUAGUGAUUUAAGCCUUCAAUUUUCAGUUUGUAUGUUCCUUUUUAUAAGUAGAGAUACUUAUCGCUAAGUUUUUUCACAGAAAAAUAAAUCAAUAUUGACCAGUCACUUUAGUAUAUUAUUUUUGGCCUUUUCCUACUGCCUCAUUUCUCUCCUACAUAUUGGCCUGGGGGCUUGGCCAUCUUAGGGGUGAGUAUAUUUUUUAAUGGGCCUGGGCAUGCAAUCUACUUGUGUAGAUAAAUAUGGUUUUCCAUUGUUGCAUUUUCUCUAAUUUGUUGAUCCUAGUUGAUGAAGGGAAGAUUGCAUUUACUCUAACCAAUGUGAUUAUUGUUUAUCUAAGAUCUUUUUUCUUUUCUGUGUCUUAGAGCUUGAUGCAAAGAUUCUUUAUUUUGUUUUAUUUCAUUUUUUUCUUAGCACAGAGCUUGAUGCAAAGAGGACAUGAAGUUGAACCUAGAGAUUAGUGCAUGAAUGAGGGUUCUUGCAUAUUUUUAUAUUACAUGAAACAUCUCUCUUUCUCUCUCUCCCCUCCACUUGUUCGUUGUUGUCAGAGGUGCAAAACCAACAGGAAGGGAACAGGUCAUGAGAGUGAGAGUGAGAGUGAGAGUGAGAGUGAGAGUGAGAGAGAGAGUUCUCUUUCUCAAGCCCUCUUUUUGACUACCAAAGCUAAGCCCUUCUCAUGCUUGUAAAAUUAGGUGCUUUUCUUAUUCCUGUUCUUUCUUUCAAGCUCUGUUCUUUUUUGGGUUCUUGUAGUUUAUAGGUAUGUGGCCUUUAGGUACCAAAUUCUUUUUUUGGGUUAUUUGUACUCUUUGAUUGUAGAUCUGUCUUGGGAAUUACAUAAUUGUUGUGGGUUUUGUAUCAAGAUUUGAUUUUUGUACAAUUUUACCAUUACUUGAUCUCUGAUUACUCUUCAAAUAUGAAAUUAUUGGUUGCUAUUAUGAAACUGCUAUCUUUACUUUUUUGGCCAUUGUAACGUGCUGCUUCUGAUGCAGUGAAAUGAUGAGCUCUCCUAUGAGAUGUAUGGAUGAGAUUCUUGCACUUCUUCACUUAGCUUAUGAUUUCAAGGGUUAGAUAAGAGACAAAAAGAGAUGAAACUAUAUGAUUUGAAGCAUAAGAAGAAAUGGAUGUUAUUUUUUUUUUAUAUGAUACUUGAUUGUGAGUAUAAGAGUAACAUACAUUGGUGAUGUGCAAUUCAAUAGACAAGGAAUUGUUUCACAUUUGUACAUACAAAUGUCUUAU